AUUGAACGCUGGCGGCAGGCCUAACACAUGCAAGUCGAACGGUAACAGGAAGCAGCUUGCUGCUUCGCUGACGAGUGGCGGACGGGUGAGUAAUGUCUGGGAAACUGCCUGAUGGAGGGGGAUAACUACUGGAAACGGUAGCUAAUACCGCAUAACGUCGCAAGACCAAAGAGGGGGACCUUCGGGCCUCUUGCCAUCGGAUGUGCCCAGAUGGGAUUAGCUAGUAGGUGGGGUAACGGCUCACCUAGGCGACGAUCCCUAGCUGGUCUGAGAGGAUGACCAGCCACACUGGAACUGAGACACGGUCCAGACUCCUACGGGAGGCAGCAGUGGGGAAUAUUGCACAAUGGGCGCAAGCCUGAUGCAGCCACGCCGCGUGUAUGAAGAAGGCCUUCGGGUUGUAAAGUACUUUCAGCGGGGAGGAAGGGAGUAAAGUUAAUACCUUUGCUCAUUGACGUUACCCGCAGAAGAAGCACCGGCUAACUCC
RNAcentral lists this ribosomal RNA (487 nucleotides) under uncultured bacterium. RNAcentral's name for it is "bacterial SSU rRNA". It matches the Rfam family "Bacterial small subunit ribosomal RNA", at positions 30 to 504 of the family's 1533-position model. The record is from RNAcentral.